UUGUGAGUUAGGAGAUGAUUUCUGCUCCUAGCUGUCGGCUACUCAAUCUCUUGGCACCUCAGUUUGCUCAUCUGACAAGUGGGCCCCUUAACGGUUGCCCUAUCCAAUUGAGAGGAAAGGAGAGCUCUUGCUUGACAGCAUUGUUGGGUGCCAGCUGUGCUGUGGGCUCCUUAGAUCUGCCAUCUCAUUUAAUGCCCAAGACAAUCCCAUGAGGGAAGUGGCAUUAAGCUCUUCUUCAGCUGAAAGAACUGAAACACGGAGAGUCAAAGUGGCUUGUCCAAGAUCAUAAAGCUUAUCAGGACUCAAGCCCACAUCUGUCUGGCUUCAAAUCCUGUGUUCUUCCUAUUACUUCAUGCUAACAAUGAGGUCAUAGAACACAUUCUAGUCUCCUCCUUGGAAGGGAAAAAGCACAAAGUGGCUUCCCUGCUGUAAGGCCCAAGAUGUUCCUGGGUCCUUGGUCCCCACAGAGAGCCCAACUAAGCCCAGUUCUGUUUCCUCAGAGCCCUGCUUUCUGCUGUGGGAGCAGCCCAAGCUAACCAUAAGCUCCUAUGGAGUGGGAGUAAGCAGGAUGCAGUCCUCCGUAUCUCCUCGAGAAACUGCACAGAACACCAUGGAAGGCACUCACCUGUGGAUGAACAGCUUAAAAUCACCCAGGGUUUUUCCUACCCACUCAGUGGCCUGAGCAGUGGGAGCUGCAGACCAGCCUGCUGUGGAGGACCAUGCAUGCCUUUCUUCAGUAGUGUACCACAUCAUUUGAUAUUUGCGUAUGUUGUGAAAUGAUCACCACAAUAAGUCUAGUUGACAUCUGUCACCACACCUGGCCCGGAUUUACGUGUUUUUUUCUUGUGAUGAGCACUUUUAAGAUCUACUCUCAGCAAACUUCAAAUGGGCAAUACAGUAUUAUUAACUAUA
Neofelis nebulosa (Clouded leopard) is the source of this 912-nucleotide long non-coding RNA. RefSeq lists it as uncharacterized. The record is from RefSeq and is a predicted model, not a curated record. The transcript has 4 exons. NCBI's taxonomy places the organism in Eukaryota, Metazoa, Chordata, Mammalia, Carnivora, Felidae.